AACGAACGCUGGCGGCAUGCCUAACACAUGCAAGUCGAACGAGAUCUUCGGGUCUAGUGGCGCACGGGUGCGUAACGCGUGGGAAUCUGCCCUUUGGUUCGGAGUAACAGUUGGAAACGACUGCUAAUACCGGAUGAUGACGAAAGUCCAAAGAUUUAUCGCCAGAGGAUGAGCCCGCGUAGGAUAGCUAGUUGGUGUGGUAAAGGCGCACCAAGGCGACGAUCCUUAGCUGGUCUGAGAGGAUGAUCAGCCACACUGGGACUGAGACACGGCCCAGACUCCUACGGGAGGCAGCAGUGGGGAAUAUUGGACAAGGGGCGAAAUCCUGAUCCAGCAAUGCCGCGUGAGUGAUGAAGGCCUUAGGGUUGUAAAGCUCUUUUACCCGGGAUGAUAAUGACAGUACCGGGAGAAUAAGCUCCGGCUAACUCCGUGCCAGCAGCCGCCGUAA
RNAcentral lists this ribosomal RNA (448 nucleotides) under uncultured bacterium. Its description in RNAcentral is "partial 16S ribosomal RNA". It matches the Rfam family "Bacterial small subunit ribosomal RNA", at positions 29 to 523 of the family's 1533-position model. The record is from RNAcentral.